UUUUAGAGUCGGUAACGGUAAGUCUAAGACUACAGAAUUAAAAAUAUAAAACGACGGAGCUUCUCUGCUGUUUGUGUUGGUUCAUACUUUGCUUUCUCAAUAAGCAUAGCCAGAGAUCGAAAAGGAGCAGAAAGAAGAAGUAUUGGUUGAAAUAUGUUGGUGGGGUUUUUGUUGGUUCAUCAAUUUGUGAAUUAAAGUUUAUUUCUUUUUGUCAAAAGAUUUUUUUUUUUUUUAAUUUUCUUUUAAAAUAAAUAACUCAAACUUGAAGCGUUGGGAUAAAAUUCCUAUACAUUCAAAUUUCUAAAAGAGGACAAAAGGCAUUGAGAGAGACGAAAAGAAGACAUGCAGACAGAGGCAAGAGUAGGAGUAGUGCUGAAUUCGCAGCAAAAACAAUUGAAACAUAAGCAGCAAUCACAGAUCGGAACAGUUUCCCAGCUUAUGGCUGGUGGCAUGGCUGGUGCACUUAGCAAGACCUGCACUGCACCCCUUGCACGCCUUACCAUCCUCUUUCAGGUGCAAGGCAUGCACUCUGAUGUUGCAACAUUGAGAAAGGCUAGCAUAUGGCACGAGGCUUCUCGAAUAAUUAGAGAGGAAGGAUUUAGAGCUUUUUGGAAGGGGAAUCUUGUCACAAUUGCUCAUCGGCUUCCUUACUCAUCUGUCAACUUUUAUGCAUAUGAGCACUACAAAAAGUUGCUACAUAUGGUACCUGGACUGGAAAGUCAUAGGGAGAGCAGUGGCGGAAAUCUCUUUGUUCAUUUUGUAGGCGGGGGUUUGGCAGGAAUAACAGCAGCAUCUGUUACAUAUCCACUGGACCUUGUAAGAACGCGCCUCGCAGCUCAGACAAACAUUAUCUACUAUCAAGGUAUUUGUCAUGCAUUACGAACAAUUAUCACAGAGGAGGGUGUUUUUGGUAUCUACAAGGGUCUUGGAGCAACGCUCUUGGGUGUGGGGCCCAAUAUAGCUAUUGGCUUUUCGGUGUAUGAGACCUUGCGAUCUUCUUGGCAAUCACGCAGGCCCCACGAUUCUACUGUUGCUGUGAGUUUGGCUUGUGGCAGUCUGUCGGGCAUUGCAUCCUCAACUGGAGAUGUUAAGACAACAACAUUUCUUUUACACUUGCCAAAGAACUUCACUGGCUGUAUUAGAUUAUGAAUUAGCUGAUGACAGUGUUUGAGAAGCAAGCUGUGGUGCAGGCUCUGCAUUAAGUUUCUAACCAGACUGACCCCUAGAGACAGAGACCCGACAGGAGUUAUUUUAUGUCUUGCAUUUGAGAACUUUAGUAAGAAAGUUGAGGAGAAAUUACCUUUAUAUUUCCAUUCAUCUAGCUUUAUUGUCUAUUUAAGAAUCUUACUUUCACAUAAACUUAAUAUCUCCAACAUUUGUUCUAUAACUUGUCUCCCCAAGUUGCAGUUGAUCUUUUAAUUGGUGGCACUACUCUCAAGUGAACUAUUCUCUCAGUUAUCAAAUGUGAGAUGUGUCCUCUUUGAGGUAUGCUUCUCAAUUGAGUUUCCUUUGUCAAUUGCAUAAUGGAUAUUGGAAUCCUUCAGGCCUUGCAAUGCAGAUGUUGAAGCCUCGAAGGUGCUAUCCGUUUGAUUCUAUUAGAUAGGGACAAGUCACAGAGAUUUCUCCCGUCUAAUCUACCAACAUUGACUUGAAAAUGUUUUCAAUUUUGAAUGCACGGAAAAAUAUCAAAUAUUCAACCUUCCCUCAUAUAAAUGAGUUUUCUAUCCUGAUUAUAAAAUCUGUUGCCCGUGUCAAAAACCAUCCAAAACCAUCCAACAUUAAGCAUAAAGAGAACUGUCCUGGAAGCUGCUAUAAGUUCAAAUUCUCUUGGUGAGCUGGAACUCGCAACGUUUCCUCUUGAUCUUGUGAGACGACGGAAGCAAUUGGAAGGAGUAGGUGGCCGAGCUCGUGUAUACAAAACAGGUCUAUUUGGUACAUUUAAGCACAUAAUCCAGACUGAGGGCUUUCGUGGUCUAUACAGAGGCAUU
Molecule: RNA transcript, 1988 nt
Organism: Ricinus communis (castor bean)
Lineage: Eukaryota; Viridiplantae; Streptophyta; Magnoliopsida; Malpighiales; Euphorbiaceae
Gene name: mitochondrial substrate carrier family protein B
Exons: 9
Source: RefSeq, a predicted model, not a curated record